RNAcentral lists this ribosomal RNA (482 nucleotides) under uncultured bacterium. RNAcentral's name for it is "partial 16S ribosomal RNA". It matches the Rfam family "Bacterial small subunit ribosomal RNA", at positions 30 to 507 of the family's 1533-position model. The record is from RNAcentral.
AUUGAACGCUGGCGGCAUGCUUUACACAUGCCAGUCGAACGGUAACAGGGCGCAAGGUGCUGGGGGGUGGAGAACGGGUGGGUAAUGCAUCGGAACGUGCCCGGUCGUGGGGGAUAGCUAGUCGAAAGAGUAGCUAAUACCGCAUACUAUCUAUGGAUGAAAGCGGGGGGCCGUAAGGCCUCGCUCGAUUGGUGCGGCCGAUGUCAGAUUAGGUAGUUGGUGGGGUAGAGGCUCACCAAGCCAACGAUCUGUAGCUGGUCUGUCAGGACGACCAGCCACACUGGGACUGAGACACGGCCCAGACUCCUACGGGAGGCAGCAGUGGGGAAUUUUGGACAAUGGGCGCAAGCCUGAUCCAGCAAUGCCGCGUGUAGGAAGAAGGCCUUCGGGUUGUAAACUGCUUUUGUCCGGAACGAAACGGCUCUGGUUAAUACCCGGGGCUAAUGACGGUACCGUAAGAAUAAGCACCGGCUAACUACGUG